AUUGAACGCUGGCGGCAGGCCUAACACAUGCAAGUCGAACGAGCGGCGGACGGGUGAGUAAUGUCUGGGGAACUGCCUGAUGGAGGGGGAUAACUACUGGAAACGGUAGCUAAUACCGCAUACCAUCAGAUGAACCCAGAUGGGAUUAGCUUGUUGGUGGGGUAACGUCUCACCAAGGCGACGAUCCCUAGCUGGUCUGAGAGGAUGACCAGCCACACUGGAACUGAGACACGGUCCAGACUCCUACGGGAGGCAGCAGUGGGGAAUAUUGCACAAUGGGCGCAAGCCUGAUGCAGCCAUGCCGCGUGUAUGAAGAAGGCCUUCGGGUUGUAAAGUACUUUCAGCGGGGAGGCGUUACCCGCAGAAGAAGCACCGGCUAACUCCGUGCCAGCCGCCGCGGUAAUUC
Molecule: ribosomal RNA, 406 nt
Filed under: uncultured bacterium
Lineage: Bacteria
Description: partial 16S ribosomal RNA
Rfam family: Bacterial small subunit ribosomal RNA
Source: RNAcentral